This 26-nucleotide non-coding RNA is filed under the name Homo sapiens (human). Lineage: Eukaryota; Metazoa; Chordata; Mammalia; Primates; Hominidae. The record is from RNAcentral.
UUCAUUUUCCCCCACUUUCCCAAUGU